CUGCUGCCUGUACCAGAGAUAUAGACACACAAACUUGCUGCCUGUACCAGAGAUAUAGAAGUUCAGUUACUGUGUUAUUGGGCCAGUUUCCAGGACACAGAUUAAGCCUGGUCCUGAACUAAAAAGCAUGCUAAAUUUAAUAAUCUCUCUUUAAAUAGCUUUUUAGUCCAGGAAUAUAGGCUUAAUUUGUGUCUGGGAAUACAGACACUGUCCUUUAGAGUUGACCCCCCCCAGCAGUUACAGUGUUAUUGGGCUGAGUAUCCUAGACACAGAUAAAGUCUAGUCUUUGACUAACACAACACUAUUGGUUUAAUGUUGCCCUGGAAACCAGUUCAUACUAUGUCUCAGAGCUGAGCCCCCUCCCAGUCUAGGUUUCAACCCUCAGUCAGACAGGGCUAGGCUGGGAUAUUACGAGUAGGAUUUCCAGGCUCUGGUAAUGAUAUCCAGAUGAGAUUUGUAUUUAGCCAUGUUCACACAUUGGUGACAUUUACAGUCUCAGAUAAUAUGGAGAGGGCCUUCAGAAAGUAUUCAUACCCCUUGACUUAUACUACGGUUUGUUGUUACAGCCUGAAUUCACAAUGGAUAUAUAUAUAUAUUUUAAAUCUCACCCAUCUACACACAAUACCCCAUAAUAAAAAAGUGAAAACAUGUUUUUUGACAUUUUUGCAAAUGUAUUGAAAAUUAAUUUCCAAAAUCGAAUUUACAUAAGUAUUCAAACCCCCUGAGUCAAUACAUGUUAGAAUCACCUUUGGCAGCGAUUACAGCUGUUAGUCUUUCUGGGUAAGUCUCUAAGAGCUUAACAUACCUGGAUUGUACAAUAUUUGGCAAUUAUUAUUUUCAAAAGUCUUGCCAUAGAAUUUCAAGCCGAUUUAAGUCAAAACUGUAACUAGGCCACUCAGGAACAUUCAAUAUUGUUUUUCUGAAAUGUGAAUUUGUCUCCCAGUGUUUGUUGGGAAGAAGUCUGAACCAGGUUUUACUCCCUGUGCUGAGCUCUAUUACGUUUAUUUUGAAUCCUCCCAAAACCUCCCUAGUCCUUGCCAAUGACAAGCAUACCCAUAACAUGAUGCAGCCACCACCAUGCUUGAAAAUAUGAAGAGUGGUACUCAGUGAUGUGUUGUGUUGGAUUUGACCCAAAUAUAACACUUUGUAUUCAGGACAUAAAGGUCAUUUCUGUGCCACAUUUUUUUUUACAGUUUUCCUUUUGUGCGUUAUUGCAAACAGGAUGCAUGUUUUGGAAUAUGUUUUAUUCUGUACAGGCUUCCUUCUUUUCACUCUAUCAUUUAGGUUAGUAUUGUGGAGUAACUACAAUGUUGUUGAUCCAUCAUCAGUUUUCUCUUAACACAGCCAUUAAACUCUGUAACUGUUUUAAAAUCACCAUUGACCUCAUGGUGAAACCCCUGAGCGGUUUCCUUCCUCCCUGGCAACUGAGUUAGGAAGUACGCCUGUAUCUUUGUAGUGACUGGGUGUAUUGAUACACCAUCCAAAGUGUAAUUAAUAACUUCACCAGGCUCAAAGGGAUAUUCAUUGUCUGUUUUUUUUAUUUUUACACAUCAACCAAUAGGUGGCCUUCUUUGCGAGGCAUUGGAAAACCUCCCUGGUCUUUGUGGUUGAAUCUGUGUUUAAAAUUCACUGCUCGACUGAGGGACCUCACAGAUAAUUGUAUGUGUGGGGAACAGAGAUGAGAUAGUCACUCAAAGAUCAUGUUAAACACUAUUAUUGCAGAAAGCGUGAGUCAAUGCAACUUAUUAUGUGACUUGUUAAGCAUAUUUUUAUUCCUGAACGCAUUUAGGCUUACCAUAACAAAGGAGUUAAUACCUAUUGACUAGAGACAUUUCAGCUUUUCAUUUUUUAUUAAUUUGUAAAAUGUCUAAAAACAUGAUUCAUCUUUGACAUUCUGGGGUAUUGUGUGCAGGCCAGCGACACAACAUCUCCACUUAAUCCAUUUUUUAAUUCAGGCUGUGACCCCAAAACAUUUCGAAAAAGACAAGGGGUGAAUACUUUCUGAAGGCCCUGUAUUUCAGGAAGGUUACUGUAAAGAUGAUUUACUGUAGAUACAUAGAGAAAUCACAUUCUGACCCAAUGUUAUUGUCAGAAGGUUACGACAAAGAUUACUAGAUGUAUAGCAAAAACAAUAUAUAUGUACUACUACUGAGUAAAAAAAAAAGAAAAAAUAUUUUGUUUGAAAUGUGUAUUUUGCUGUAUAAAUUAUUUUUAAAUGAAAGUAAGGACAAGAAUGGCAUCAAAUUGUCAGACAAUAACACACAUCACAAUACCCCAUAAUGACAUCACAAUACCCCAUAAUGACAUCACAAUACCC
RNAcentral lists this long non-coding RNA (2317 nucleotides) under Salmo salar (Atlantic salmon). RNAcentral's name for it is "lncRNA (ENSSSAG00000092324.1)". Lineage: Eukaryota; Metazoa; Chordata; Actinopteri; Salmoniformes; Salmonidae. The record is from RNAcentral.